UUGAACAUCAGACUUGAUGUUUUGAGCUCUUCAGUUUUGGAACUCGGAUUUGCUUUCCUUGCUCCUGAGCCUGUAGCCAGCCUGUUGUGGGACCUUGUGAUCAUAGAUCUGCACCACUAUGGCCAUCACCCUGCCAAGAAACUGCAAGAUGGUUUGACAAAUUAAUUUAAAGACAGAUGUUAAUAUUUUAUAUUGAAUAUUUCAAAGAAAUGAUCAAAGGUAAGUUUCAUCUGAAUUUAGAGUGAAUGUAAUACAUUUUAGAUUUUUACCUUUAUCACAUACAUAAUUUUAAAUUUGAAAAUUUGGAUUUUUUUUUUUUUGCAUUUUAGGUUUGGGGCACAUGUGAAGAACACGCAAGAUUGUUGCAUAGGUACCCACGUGGCAGUGUGAUUUGCUGCCUUCCUCCCCAUCACCUAUAUCUGGCAUUUCCCCCAAUGCUAUCUCCUCCCAACUCCCCAGCCCCCACUGUCCCUCCCUGAUUUCCCC
This 486-nucleotide long non-coding RNA is filed under the name Callithrix jacchus (white-tufted-ear marmoset). RNAcentral describes it as "lncRNA (ENSCJAG00000074193.1)". Lineage: Eukaryota; Metazoa; Chordata; Mammalia; Primates; Cebidae. The record is from RNAcentral.